This is an RNA transcript of Solea senegalensis (Senegalese sole), 2307 nucleotides long. RefSeq lists it as uncharacterized. The record is from RefSeq and is a predicted model, not a curated record. NCBI's taxonomy places the organism in Eukaryota, Metazoa, Chordata, Actinopteri, Pleuronectiformes, Soleidae. The transcript has 13 exons.
UGCAGAAGCCAGAAGGGGAAAACUGAUACGCUACGUACCCACGAUUAUACCUUCUCGUCGUUAAAUUCGUUUUAAAAAAGAGCCAAUUUCUUCGUUUUUAAUACACGUAUGUUCGUAAAGUUUCACGGAAUAAACGUUGACGCGGACCUUCGCUGUAUGUUGGGUGCUCAUAACAAUGGAGAAAGAUGAAGAAGGAAAAGCAGGUGAAUCACAGCCACCGCCUCAUACACAGCAGCCGUGUCGCUUCUUCUCUCAGGGAAGACACUGCAGUUAUGGCAAGAAAUGUAGAUUUCUACAUGUGACACGUUUACCGAACGAGCCAGAUGCCACACCUCUAAACUCAGAAAACCCUGGUGAAACUUUGGGGGACAGGCCUCCUCUCGUUGAUAACUCCAGGGCUGCUCCAGCAGGACCUCGCCGCCGCCCCUGUCGCUACUUCCUCUCAGGCUACUGUGCCAUGGAGGACAGGUGUCGCUUCUGGCAUCCGCCACAGUUCCCUUUAGUGGACAAUCUGCCUGUUGCAAGCAGUCAAACGAGACCCGCUCAGAGGAAGCCACCAGUACCUCACCCCAGUGUCCUCCACGAGGUCAAGCUGUGUGACUUGACAGAGGAAACCACAGGGAAGCUCCGCGACACCGAAAUCAAGCAGCUGAAGAAACGUUUCCCGAAAGACCAGCUGAUUAUUCAGGAACGAAGUGAUGGCAAAAUGACUUAUUAUAGGAUGGCUGUGGCGGCCACGGAUCCAGAUUGGCCUUUUGACCUGAAAGAAAUUGACGUCAUGGUGAGCUUCCCUGACAAUUACCCCCAAGAGAUUUUCACUGUAGAUAUACCACUGGAUCAGGCUCUACCAUCUGUGAUGGCGAGACAUGUGCAACAAGCAUCUUUGGAGUGGCUCCAGGCCAAGCAUGCAACCAAUCAGCUCAUGGGGAAGGUUGAGCUGCUCUUUCGGCCAUUUCUCCGCUGGCUGGAUCGCAGUUUGGAGAGACUGUUCACUGAAGGAGCGAGGCAGUUGAAAAAAGACGUUGAUUUAGAAAAGGCUGGACUGCAGUUUAUAUCGUACCAGGAGCUCCAGGCUACUGUAUGUGAAAAGUCAGAGACUGAUCACUCCGCUGAUCCUGCUUCUGACACCACCGCCGCUGCUGCUGCUACGGAUGCAGAUGAGGACACCGCCAGUAACGGAGAGCUGGUUAAUAUGGAGGGUGAGGGGAAAAAUGGAGAAGAUGGAGGUUGUAAGAAGGAGCAGUAUCAGGAAGAGGAUGAGGAGGAUGGUGAGGAGGUGGCAGCUGCUAGUCAUCUGGUGGAGAACAUCAAGAUUAGCAAUUCUCGCAGAGGCACAGAGGUGAAGGUGCUGGGACUGAGGCUGGGGGAGAACACAGCCACCGUCGUUGCCCAACAGAUUACAGUUUGCCUUCAGUGCAAUAGGUGUAAGGUAACUGCCGAUCUGACCCUCAGUGGAAGGACAGCCUGCACAGCUCAGUGUGACAAGUGCAGUUCAAGCAUCAGUGCUGCGUUCAGGCCCUGCGUGUUGCACCAUUACAGCGACGUCCUGGGAUACCUGGACCUCCACAACGUUGUGCCCACUGACCUCGUGCUUCAGGACUGUGACUUUAUCGUGGGCUGCCUCAGCUGCUCCCAGGAGAGCCUUGUUCAGAACCUUUCCUAUGGACAGACAAAGGAGUUUAAUUGCGAACACUGCCACAGCAAACUCAAUGUACUCACAGAGAGUGUAAAAUUCCAAUAUAUUGCGCCACGUCCCAACAAAACAGGUACAAGUGCGGUAAAUUUGAAGGUGAUAAGAGACCCUGCUGUGCAGAAAGGGAAGCCACUACCAGAAAAAGGAACCUGCAAACAUUACAAACAGAGCCAUCGCUGGCUGAGGUUUCCCUGCUGCGGCCGGGCUUAUCCCUGUGAUGGGUGCCACGAUGAGGAUCAGGACCACCCCAUGGAGCUGGCCACCAGGAUGCUUUGUGGCUACUGUGCCAAAGAACAGCCGUACAACAACGGAAAGCCUUGCGUUAGUUGUGGGAGCAUGUUGACGAGAGGCGCUCGCACCAGCCACUGGGAGGGAGGACUGGGCUGCAGGAGCAAAGUCAAAAUGAACAGAAAUGAUCGACAGAAAUAUGCCAACACCAACAAAACGAUUUCAAGGAAAGCAGCCAGUGAGAAGAAGUAGCCGGCGAAGAAGAGUUGUGGUGUGUUCCACUUGUGACAUCAUGAUACAAUGAAUCAUGGAAAAUUACAAAAUCUCCUGGGAGAGAAGCUGCCCGUGAUGCAUCAGUACAAGAUCCAGCCAGACAGACAGCCGAC